This 1009-nucleotide ribosomal RNA is filed under the name Trisetacus sp. F107. RNAcentral's name for it is "partial large subunit ribosomal RNA". The stretch from base 109 to 1009 matches the Rfam family "Eukaryotic large subunit ribosomal RNA", at positions 1 to 650 of the family's 3401-position model. The record is from RNAcentral. Lineage: Eukaryota; Metazoa; Arthropoda; Arachnida; Trombidiformes; Phytoptidae.
CAAUGUGAUUUUGCUAGUAGCUGGGGCAACCUGGCUGCUAGUCAGAGUCAACACACAGCAUUGAUCGGUGCAGCGUUACAAACUUUAGUGUUUAGUAAUAUCAAUGAUGUAUCAGUAGCAAUAUUGGUAUAUCUCCUUCAGCCUAGGAUGCAAGUCCCAUUGACUUGGGCUUUUUCAAAUUGAGAUGACUAUAGUGUUGGGGCAACUUGAUACUAUGGUUGAGCCAUAGAGGGUGAAAGUCCCUUAACGUCCAGGUAUUGAUAUUACGAACUAGAGAGCCAGCAAUGGCAUUUUGUUAGAGUCGGGUUGCUUGAGAGUGCAACCUAAAGAGCGAGGUAAACUGCUCGUAAGGCUAUUAGAGAAAUAUCGCUAUGACACCGAUAGCAAACAAGUACCGUGAGGGAAAGUUGCAAAGUACUUUGAAGAGAGAGUUAAACAGGGCGUGAAACCGCUAGCUGGUAAACGAGUGGAGCCACGAAGUCGUUUCGUAGAAUAAGGGUUACAAAUUCAGUUGAGGUUUUCGCAAGAUGGCCUUAAUGCAUUUUUGUUUUACCCUCUAUGUAUGCGUACACUGCAACCAAUUAGACAAUCAAUUGUGGAAACAAUUAGCCGAUACAAGGAGAAAUCUUUGUGUUAGUUAAUGAAAUGCUUAUAUACUAGCUAUAGGUAGCUUGAUUUAAUCCUCGUGGUUAUCUUGAGUGUCUGAUACGCUAAUAUGAGAACUACAAUUGAAUACUGAUUGGCACAAUGAAAAUCCAUUUGCAAAAAUGGUAUUUAGAUAAUACUACCCGUGUUGUAUGUGUGUACAAGUGUUUAUUAUUAGUGUAAGCUUAAUAGUUUAAAUUUAGACUGGUAGGCUAUCUUGGAUUUCGGUUCUUGAUGCCUAUUUAGCUUCUAUCUAAUUGGCUAUUGACUUUGCUAGUAUUGUUAUACUUGAAAUGAUAGCAUAUAUGCAACGAUGGGCAAGUUAUUUUAUUAGCAGUGAGUAGGUCGGCUUUCCACACGACCC